This 275-nucleotide ribosomal RNA is filed under the name uncultured bacterium. RNAcentral's name for it is "partial 16S ribosomal RNA". It matches the Rfam family "Bacterial small subunit ribosomal RNA", at positions 338 to 611 of the family's 1533-position model. The record is from RNAcentral.
CCUACGGGGGGCUGCAGUAGGGAAUAUUGGGCAAUGGGCGGAAGCCUGACCCAGCCAUGCCGCGUGCAGGAAGAAGGCCUUCUGGGUUGUAAACUGCUUUUACCAGGGAAGAAAACACCCAUGCGUGGGGAACUGACGGUACCUGGGGAAUAAGCACCGGCUAACUCCGUGCCAGCAGCCGCGGUAAUACGGAGGGUGCAAGCGUUGUCCGGAUUUAUUGGGUUUAAAGGGUGCGUAGGCGGCCCCUUAAGUCAGCGGUGAAAGCCCGGGGCUCA